Long non-coding RNA from Myotis myotis, 2457 nucleotides. RefSeq lists it as uncharacterized. The transcript has 3 exons. The record is from RefSeq and is a predicted model, not a curated record. NCBI's taxonomy places the organism in Eukaryota, Metazoa, Chordata, Mammalia, Chiroptera, Vespertilionidae.
CACUGAGCCCUACGAGACCAUGGAGCCCUCAGUAGGUGUGGCUCCUGCUCUCAGGGACAUCACUGUGUAAUGGAGGUGGAUGAAGCACGAAGAAAGCAUGAAGACUGCAGGAACACAGGGGAGGGGGACUUCCUGGAAGCGGUGAUAUUUGAGCUGCACCCAAAGUAACAGGCUUUAGAGCUGGGGGGAAGGGUGUUCCAGGGAGAGGGAACAGCAUGUGCAAAGGCUGUGACCCGGGGAGAGAGCCCAGGAAAGGUUUGCGGGAGGAGCUGAGUGGAUGCAGUAUUGGAAGAGGUUGCCCUCCACGGAGCCCUGCGUUCUUCAUUCCUCUCGAGAGCUCUGCUCCUGUUUCCCGUUUGUUUCUAAGCCCAGGAAGCAGAUUCCGCAAGGCCCGAGGCUACGGAGCAGAGCGUGAGGGAGCCGUCUGGACUGGAGCCCGGGCUGAGCCUGAGCUUGGCGCCUCCCUGAGUCUCACGGCCUCCCAGCACGCGAAUGCGCCUUUUGAAUCGGUUGCGGGUGGAUCUGGUGCUGUUACUAUUAUUGUUGUUUAUUAUUGAUUACCAAGGUGAUCCGAAAACAUCCUGAUUCAGCUCCGGCUCCGACCUCCCGGCUUCCCGCACUUAAAGCUCCGGGCCCAGGCGGCCCCGCGUGGCCGCGGUGGGAACUGCAGUCUCCAGGGCGCGGGGUCGGCGUGGUGGCGCCCCUGGAGGCGGCGCUGGGCACUGCCGCGAGAGCCCGACCGCUGAGCGCGGUGUCCUCUGCAGGCUGGUCAGCACCCGCAUGGGUCCCGGGACAAGGGUCCCAGCUGAAAUGGAAGCUGAGGUUCACAGAGCUUAAGGAACUGACCCAGAAUUGCAGACCUGGAUUUGAACCCAACUCUGCCAAAGUCUGCGGCCGAACCCAGAACCCCUCCCACUAAGUCCAAAGAGGAAACGGCCCCUGGACCCUCUGACUAGACUGUAAGCCUCUGGAAGUCAGGCAUAAAAAUGGUGAUGAUAAAAAUAAUAAUAAUAAUUCAGUCACUAGUGGGGGCAGUGUACCGAAUUUGAGCGUCACUAUUUCCUGCAUGUGUGUCUUUGGUCAACUAAGUUACUUCACCUCUCUGUGACUCAAUUUUACCACCAGUAAGUGAGCUUUAAAAAAAAAUUUUUGUUUCGCAUGGGAAGCAUCAAUCAGUUGCCUCCUGAAUGUGUGUCCCUACUGGAGAUCAAACAUGCAACCUGGGGAUGUGCCCUGACCAGGAAACAAACUUGCCACCUUCUGGUGCAGGGGAUGUCGCUCCAACCUGCCCAGCCACACCAGCCAAGGCAGGGAGUGAGCUUUCUUAAAGUCUUACGUUACAGGGCUAUCGAUGUUCUGAGGAUUCAGUGCAAUCAUGCAGACGCAGUGCUUAGCUUAGCGCCUGGCAUGUAGAAGGGCUCAAGGAAACAGCCAAUAUGAUUUACUCACUCAGACACUAUUUACUGAAAACCUGGGACCUAGGGAUACAGGGGAAGAAGGACAGAUAUUGUUCUUGCUUUGAUGAUUUCCUAGUUUCUGUGUCCCUAGGAUCUAGCACAUUGCUGGCUUAAUAAAUGUUGAAAUGAAUGCAUAAAGAAGCAAAUGAAGGAAUAAAUAGACAAAUGUACUGCAGUAAGAGGGAGAAAGGCGGGUUUUAAAAAAUAAUAGCUGGAACAAAAAUACAAAAAAAUUAAAAAAACUAAACACACACACACACAAAAGCUAAUAUUUUGGUCGCACUCCCAAUGUAUCAGUACUUGACUAAAUGCUUUUUGUAUCCUCAGUUCAUGCUCACAGCAAACCCAUAAGGUGAAGCGUUACCCGAUUUUACAGAGAAAAACACCAUCUCUGAGAGGGAGAGUGACUUUCCUAAGGUCACAAAGUAAGUGCAGGGCAGGCUUUAGGCUUGGGCCUGCUGCCUCCAAAGCUUGGCUUUGAACCCGUGCUCCCUUGAAGCAGUGGCUGGAGGGCCCAGCUGGGGCAUCUUCCGCCAGCCUCCUGCCACCUCUGGAUGGUUGGCUAGAGCUCUUGGCACACAGAAACUCAGCAGAAUGGCCUCCACCAGCACCAGUAAUAAUGGGGGAUGUUCUACUCUCAGUUUACUUCGCCUAGCUCGCUCACGUGCUGAGCCUCACAUUUGACUGUUUCAUAACACUCCUGUGAAGAGAGUGUUAAUUGCCUAUUUCACAGGCCGGCAACCGAGGUUCAGGAAGGCCGGGCUCGAAAGGUCAUGUGGGGCGGGCUCUGGGGUAUGGUGGAAACUGCUGCCCUCUGGUGCCUCGCUACUGCCAAGCUCACCCUCUGCCAGUCAUCCUCCCAUCCCUCACCACUCUCAUAGCCCCUUUCCUGACCUGUUCUGGCCAGGGUCACUAUAGGCCAGUGGUUCUCAACCUUCCUAAUGCCGCGACCCUUUAAUACAGUUCCUCAUGUUGUGGUGACCCCCCAACCAUAAAAUUA